Long non-coding RNA from Prionailurus viverrinus (fishing cat), 397 nucleotides. RefSeq lists it as uncharacterized. The record is from RefSeq and is a predicted model, not a curated record. NCBI's taxonomy places the organism in Eukaryota, Metazoa, Chordata, Mammalia, Carnivora, Felidae. The transcript is spliced from 2 exons.
AGGCUAGGCUCACAGCCGGAGCCGGAGAAAUAAUGACUGGCUGCAUGAGUGAUCUUGUCUCUUCUCCUCUCCGAGCCUCCAUUUUCUUAUCCGUGAAAUGGACCUCACAGCACCCAUCUCCAGUGGAAGUAAACGUUCGGUGACGUGAAGAAUUCAGGUGCCCGGGUGGGCUCCUGUCUGGCACAUGAACCUGCAGGUGAAAGGUCCAGCCCAUUUCCCAGGAGAACAAACCGAGGCUCGGAGGUGAAGCCACCGGCUCAAGGUCACAGGCGAGGACUCUGCAGCCGCCCACGCCUGUGUAGCCCUGGGUGGCGGGAGGAGGGCGUAGGCGUGGGGCGAGGCGGGGAGGCAGCCUCCGUAGGCAGAGCGAUGACAGAUAAAUGGCUUGUCCUGUAAA